This 1397-nucleotide long non-coding RNA is filed under the name Gallus gallus (chicken). Its description in RNAcentral is "lncRNA (ENSGALG00010007063.1)". Lineage: Eukaryota; Metazoa; Chordata; Aves; Galliformes; Phasianidae. The record is from RNAcentral.
AACAUAUUUGAAAGUCCUUUGACAAAGAUAAAGUCUUUAUGUGCAGAGUACUCGUACAGGGAAAAGGUCUCUGGAGCAACUGCUUUUGUUCUUUUCACAAAUGAAUAGUGAAAUACGAGUUGGAAUAGGAAGAUACUAGUUUCAUUUUCUGACAAGAAAGCAUCUGAAACCGACAGUGGGCCGGUACACUCCAUCUGGUACUUGUCGUUUUUUUCCUAACAAGCACUGAAUUGUGGAAAGGGACAGCAAAAAGCUGAAAAAUGGUUUAGAAAGAAGAGAAAAUAUCAUGCAGUGAAAAAGCUAAACAAUCAAUAUGUUUAGAUUUAUUUUUAUUUUAAGCUUUAAGGAAAUCUAGGAAAGAGUGGAUAAAUGUCUACCUAAAGAGAAAAUAGCAGUUGCCAAAAGGCUCUUUUAUUUAGCAGGGAAAACUUAAGACCAGGUGCAUUCAAUUUGGAAAGAAAACUCAUUACUAAGCUUGAGGGCAGACUAACCAGGUGUGAUAUUCCAUCAAGUCUUCAGAUGAGGACUGGACCCCUUUUGGAGAAGUUCUAGUUUUGUACAAGUAAGUGAGCAAAAAGAGGUACUGGGAGGGGAACUUUGGUGUUUUUUAUAUAGAUGCCUUUACUGUGUUUUUAUAUUUGUACACACGUAUAUGCAUAUAGUAGAAGUGAUGACUUUAUGAGUCUUGCUGGCUUUAGACUGUGAAGUGAUGAAAGUGGUAGGCAGUGGUCUCUGUGGCAGGAUGAAGGCUGUUUAGGAACUUCUUACAUAAGACUUCUUAAAGUAAGAUGGGUUGAAAGCAAUUAUAACUUCUGUUGCUAAUGCUCUGUUAGGUACUGAAAAAUAAUUUGAAUCUUGAACAUAAGGAUAGAGUGGUUUACUUUAGUAGGUGAAGGAAUCUCUUGUAAUAGAGCAAUGAUAGCAAUUAAACCUAGUAUUUCUAUUAUGUGCUCAAGAUGUUUGUAAACUAGAUAAAAGAUUUAUAUUUGUUGCAAGGGUUUUCAUAUGCUAUAAGUGAAAUCUGCUUGGGUUUUGAAAAGUUUGAUGUAACCAUUUUCUCUUGGUGGACAAAACAAUAUAAUUUUAACCAACUGAUUAAAGUAUAUAAAGGAUAUGAAAUAUCAAACCAGUGGAUAUAGUGUACAAAUGGGUAUGUAAAUCGUAUUGUCAGAAAAAUGUGUUUUCUAAAGAAAAGAAAUUUCACAUCUCUUCCUAAUUUGUUGCUCAUAAGUGUUGCUAAUAGCAGUAAUGCAAGGUUUUUAUGGGUGACAAGUUUUAAUUUAUUAGUUUAUUUAUAAGCAACUUUUAAAAAGUUAUAAACUUCAUUUCUGUAGUGUUAUUUCUCUGCUUUGCCCAUGUCCACACUUAUUAGCUGAAAUGAAAUAAAAAUGUUCAAC